CGGCGGACGGGUGAGUAGCGCGUGGGUAACCUGCCCUGUACACACGGAUAACAUACCGAAAGGUAUGCUAAUACGGGAUAACAUAAGAAAUUCGCAUGUUUUUCUUAUCAAAGCUCCGGCGGUACAGGAUGGACCCGCGUCUGAUUAGCUAGUUGGUGAGGUAAUGGCUCACCAAGGCGACGAUCAGUAUCCGACCUGAGAGGGUGAUCGGCCACAUUGGAACUGAGACACGGUCCAAACUCCUACGGGAGGCAGCAGUGGGGAAUAUUGCACAAUGGGCGAAAGCCUGAUGCAGCAACGCCGCGUGAGCGAUGAAGGCCUUCGGGUCGUAAAGCUCUGUCCUCAAGGAAGAUAAUGACGGUACUUGAGGAGGAAGCCCCGGCUAACUACGUGCCAGCAGCCGCGGUAAUACGUAGGGGGCUAGCGUUAUCCGGAUUUACUGGGCGUAAAGGGUGCGUAGGCGGUCUUUUAAGUCAGGAGUGAAAGGCUACGGCUCAACCGUAGUAAGCUCUUGAAACUGGAGGACUUGAGUGCAGGAGAGGAGAGUGGAAUUCCUAGUGUAGCGGUGAAAUGCGUAGAUAUUAGGAGGAACACCAGUAGCGAAGGCGGCUCUCUGGACUGUAACUGACGCUGAGGCACGAAAGCGUGGGGAGCAAACAGGAUUAGAUACCCUGGUAGUCCACGCCGUAAACGAUGAGUACUAGCUGUCGGAGGUUACCCCCU
This 723-nucleotide ribosomal RNA is filed under the name uncultured Peptostreptococcus sp. RNAcentral's name for it is "bacterial SSU rRNA". It matches the Rfam family "Bacterial small subunit ribosomal RNA", at positions 96 to 839 of the family's 1533-position model. The record is from RNAcentral. Lineage: Bacteria; Bacillati; Bacillota; Clostridia; Peptostreptococcales; Peptostreptococcaceae.